AUCAUACUCCCUCCGUCCAAAAAUACUUGUCAUCAAAAUGAAUAAAAGGGGAUGUAUCUAGAUGUAUUUUAGUUCUAGAUACAUCCCCUUUUGUCCAUUUUGAUGACAAGUAUUUUCUAACAGAGGGAGUAGUAU
Non-coding RNA from Triticum aestivum (bread wheat), 135 nucleotides. Lineage: Eukaryota; Viridiplantae; Streptophyta; Magnoliopsida; Poales; Poaceae. The record is from Rfam.